CGUGGUAUGGUAGACAACCAAAAUACAUAUCGAAUAUACAGUCUUCUGCUACUCAUAAACAUACACGAAAAGCCGCUUAAAAAAGAAAAUGCACGAUCAAAAAUCCCAUACCUUUUUUAUGUGUAUUUUUGCUCAAAACAUUGAGACGCUCGGAUUUCGGUGUUUAACGGUUUACCCUAUUUAUCGGUGUCAUCGUUUGCGAAUGCACUAGGUUGUAUGAUUCGUAAAAGGAAUAACGAGACGAUAUAACGAGGAUCUAGAAUAG
This is a non-coding RNA of Schizosaccharomyces pombe (fission yeast), 265 nucleotides long. NCBI's taxonomy places the organism in Eukaryota, Fungi, Ascomycota, Schizosaccharomycetes, Schizosaccharomycetales, Schizosaccharomycetaceae. The record is from the annotation of a GenBank genome assembly.